CAGCUCUAUAAAAUGAUGUACUAUGAAGACGACUGUUUACAUUUCCCUACCCACCGUCCAAACACAUUGUGGAAAGUCUUCAGUUGUUGGUUUUAGUAGCCAUGGCACAGUUCAUCCAUCUGUCACUGCUGCUGGCAACAAUCCAGCUGCCUUUGGGGUUUUCAGCAACACAGAUAUGGCUCCGAGAGGGAAUCCCUUUUAAAUUUACUGGAGGAGGGAAAGUUAAAAGUUGUUGCAAAAGUGUCUUGGGUGACACUGUUAUUGACAAUACACUGGGCAUGUCCUCCAACCUCCUGAACGACAAGGUCACUAUCAACUCACUCAACGAUACCUUCAUCUGCUACGGUAACAACAAUAAUGAUCCAGUCCUGUAUCUGAACGUAACAAGAGGUUGUAUACGGACAUUUUUCUAUGGUGUGGAUUUUUCCAAAGGUAAAAAAACACAGAUCGAAGGCACAACUAAAGCUGGCUGUAGGAGAUGCUGUACUGAAGAUGAAAAAUGCGAAUACUUUACAUCUCAUACAAAGAAAGGAAGGAAAAAUGAUAAAGGAAAAUGUUUCCUGUUUUCAUCAAGUGAGGAGCUGCACAUAAAAUUAAAAGACAAAUCUGUCUCAGGGUACCCUCUGAGGAACUGCACAGAAAUAAAUGGCAAGUGACUUAAUUUCAUGUUUAAAAUACAACUUAUCUUUAUUCAUUCUUUUACAGUAUCUUUAUUUACAAAAUAAUUGUGCCUACAAAACUACAAAUCUAAGACCAAAUAUAUGAAUAUGUUUCCCAUUUUAAAGACAGAUCAUAACUAAGCAAGACCUUCAAAUUAAAUAAAAAUUCAAUGUCUUUUGAAUUUGGCCCAUACUGAAGAAUGAAAUAUUUUGUUCUGAUUUAAGACCUCACUUUAGAUUGGGGGACAUUUUCGGAGUUAUAAAGACUUCAUUUAGAGUUAUUUGGACACUAAUAACACUUGUAGUUUUGUGUUUUGUUGCACAAGAAUAAGUGUUAUUCAGACAGAAUGAGUAUCCUUGUGGUACUGCCACCUCAUAAGACUACUACAUUAAGAUCAUAAUUCAUAUAGAACAACUUCAAUCAACAAUCAAUAUGCAACUAAUAUGCAUGCUAAUAAGCAACUAGUUAAUGGUGAAUAUGUGUACCUUAAUAUAAAGUGUUAUACGUUAGAAACAGAGAGACAGAGGAUGUGGGGAU
Dicentrarchus labrax (European seabass) is the source of this 1197-nucleotide long non-coding RNA. RefSeq lists it as uncharacterized. Lineage: Eukaryota; Metazoa; Chordata; Actinopteri; Moronidae. The transcript has 5 exons. The record is from RefSeq and is a predicted model, not a curated record.